Dermochelys coriacea (leatherback sea turtle) is the source of this 385-nucleotide long non-coding RNA. RefSeq lists it as uncharacterized. The record is from RefSeq and is a predicted model, not a curated record. The transcript is spliced from 3 exons. NCBI's taxonomy places the organism in Eukaryota, Metazoa, Chordata, Testudines, Dermochelyidae.
UGACAGGCCCCAGGAACAAUGGGGAGAGGCCAAUGCUCCAGGGGUAUCCCUCGUCUUGGCUGUAUAUGAUUGCAUCAUCCAAGGAUCUGGUAUGGUUCAACCUUCACCUUUACUCCUGGAUCCAUGAUGAUGAGGUGAUGAGCUUCUGUGGUUUUCCCUGGCUUCCCUGUGAACACUUUGUGGUUUCACUCUAUAAUGUUGACAACUUCUGUACGUUGCCCAGCAAUCAAUUUGGGAGAUAUUUUUAUCUGUCCCCUAGGUUUAUCUUCCUGUAAUGGUGUCUCUAGGGUGACCAUAUAAGCUCCUCUAUCUUGCCAGGGCUUUAAUAGGUUUGCUUUGCUCCUGCUUUCAGUGAUCAGGUUGUCAAAUCUUAGGGCUUGUCUAC